This is a long non-coding RNA of Etheostoma cragini (Arkansas darter), 253 nucleotides long. RefSeq lists it as uncharacterized. The transcript has 2 exons. The record is from RefSeq and is a predicted model, not a curated record. NCBI's taxonomy places the organism in Eukaryota, Metazoa, Chordata, Actinopteri, Perciformes, Percidae.
AUGAUUUUAACAUUUUAACUAGCAAGUAUUCUUCAGGUGCAUUUGUUGUUUGAUGUCAUGAGAUUUCUACUAUUGCGCGUGCACGUGCCAUUCAUAAGUUCCACCGGCACCUCAAUAUAACAACCACAACACAUUGGUCUUAAGUAGUUGGAUAUAAUUCAACCUUUAGUUAAGCAAGUUUGUAGAAAAUGUCACUUUGGGGAAAUACAUUGGUUGCAAGACCUAACAGUCUAACAAAACAUCUUAAAUUUGG